This 1885-nucleotide long non-coding RNA is filed under the name Canis lupus dingo (dingo). RNAcentral describes it as "lncRNA (ENSCAFG00020025261.1)". The record is from RNAcentral. Lineage: Eukaryota; Metazoa; Chordata; Mammalia; Carnivora; Canidae.
UAAAUAACCUUAAAAAAAAAAAAAAAAGGCAAGCAGAAGACUGCUCAGCAGCUUUUGAUACAGAGAUGACGACGCUGGUCCCCGAUGCCGCUCAUUCCAACUGUGUACAUCUGCUUAACCAGCAAGUCCACAGCAAGGGCGCACCAGCGGUCUCGUUCGGAGCAAGCCGGGUGGCCUGGUGUACGCAGCAGAAGCCCGAGGGCAUUGACCUGGCGCGUUUCUCCAGCAACGAACAUCGUCUGCCCCGGGACUGUGUCUCCGGCCAGGCCUGAAGCCAAAGCCCUGGCGAAUCUACCCCCCAGCGCCGAGCCGCGAGCCGCGAGCCACAGCGGCCUGCGCCCACCGCCGCCCUCGGAGCCGCCUUCCUGGCGCCGCCGCCCUGGGCCCUCUGCCCCCCUCGGCGGGAACCGACUCCCAUUUCCUCCUCUCAGAGCGGUCUUCCGUCUACGCGUCUUCUGGGCUCCCUGUGUGGGGUGCUUUUUUUUUUUUUUUUUAAUUUUUAUUUAUUUACGCAUGAGAGAGAGAGGCAGAGACACGGGAGGAGGGAGAAGCAGGCUCCAUGCGGGGAGCCCGACGUGGGACCCGAUCCCGGGACCCCAGGACCACGCCCUGGGCCGAAGGCGGCGCUAAACCGCCGCGCCGCCCGGGGUCCCUUGCGGUGCUUUCAGUGUCGGUUCAGGGGGUCGGGAUCGCGCGGCCGGCCGCUCCCCUCCCGCCCCGCCUCCGCAGCCCCGGCCCCCACCCGCCGGGCCCACGGAUCACGCGGCGAGCCCGGCGCGUCACAAGGGCGCCCUCGCGGCCCCGCCGCCCGCCGCCCGCCGAGGGUCCAUCCGCGCCGCUCCCUGCGUCCUUCCAGCCGCGUCUUCGGGAGAAGAAGGUGGGGUUCCGCGGGGAAGCGGCCGGCGGUCACGCCAGCAGCCGGAAGUGGGGUGGGGGCGCGGGCUCUCCGGGCAGCGGCCCUCGGGUGCUGGGGUGCGGCCGAGCGGGGACUGGGCGAGCCCGGAGCAAGCGGGCUGCGGGAAACGCCGCGUGCGCCCGACGGGCGGGAGUUGUGCGCCGGGGCCGGCCGCGCGCCAGGCCCCGCCCCUCGGGGCCCCGCCCAGGGCGCGCUGCCAGGGGUUUCCAUGGUGAUGGUAAACAAGCCUCAACUGCCUCAGCUACAACUGCCAAGUUCCCCGCGUUCCACCCUCCUCUAGGUGCUCAGAGGGACGAUCGAGGUGCCGGAUGUGAAGAGCGGGAGCGUGGAGACCCGGAGCCCGAGCUACAAAAGAUUGUACCCAAACUAGUUUGAUGCUGCCCUAUCCAGUGUCCCUUCUCUGAUGCUUGGUCUUGAAGGCAGUGAAAGCCCACCUCACCCUGGUGCUAUUUGCUGAGAGGUACAGAAUUUCCAGAGUUGAAGAUGGGGCAUCAGGUGUUCAUUUUUUGUUGAAGUCUAAUCAGAAGAUUAUAUCAAAUGGACUUAAAAAAAUAGAGAAGCCAUGGAACACAGAUAUAUUAAAGUAUUCAAAUCCCACAGAACUGAAGCAGAUCGGUGUUGAUGGGCAGUGACUAUAUAGUAUUAGUCAAAACAGCUCAAGCUGAUAUAACUUGUUUUAUAGGAAAACUCCACUGACUUCAGUCUAACCUUAUACAGAGAGCCCAGGAACAAUGAGCAGCUGUUAUUACAGAAGUGGAAGCUGUGUAACCGAUUUGCACCAUUAACUUGUGAAAUCAGUAUUUAAAAAAAAAUUUCCUUUUCAGUAUUUUGUAAUGCCUCAAAAUGUCUCUUGCAUUUUGAGCUUAUUCCAAUUUAUAUUGUAUAAGUAUACCUCAGAAAUUAAAUAUGUAUAUUGAAAUGAUUUCAGCUAUGUAAAAUAAAACUUUUAUACCAUGUUGCUCUUGAACA